RNAcentral lists this ribosomal RNA (253 nucleotides) under uncultured bacterium. RNAcentral's name for it is "partial 16S ribosomal RNA". It matches the Rfam family "Bacterial small subunit ribosomal RNA", at positions 524 to 776 of the family's 1533-position model. The record is from RNAcentral.
UACGGAGGGUGCGAGCGUUGUCCGGAAUUAUUGGGCGUAAAGAGCUCGUAGGCGGUCUGUCACGUCGGCUGUGAAAACCCGAGGCUCAACCUCGGGCCUGCAGUCGAUACGGGCAAACUAGAGUACUGCAGGGGAGACUGGAAUUCCUGGUGUAGCGGUGAAAUGCGCAGAUAUCAGGAGGAACACCGGUGGCGAAGGCGGCCUGCUGGGCAGUUGCUGACACUGAGGCGCGACAGCGUGGGGAGCAAACAGG